GACGAACGCUGGCGGCGUGCUUAACACAUGCAAGUCGAACGGAAAGGCCCUGCUUGCAGGGUACUCGAGUGGCGAACGGGUGAGUAACACGUGGGUGAUCUGCCCUGCACUUCGGGAUAAGCCUGGGAAACUGGGUCUAAUACCGGAUAGGAGCCAUUUUUAGUGUGAUGGUUGGAAAGUUUUUUCGGUGUAGGAUGAGCUCGCGGCCUAUCAGCUUGUUGGUGGGGUAAUGGCCUACCAAGGCGGCGACGGGUAGCCGGCCUGAGAGGGUGGACGGCCACAUUGGGACUGAGAUACGGCCCAGACUCCUACGGGAGGCAGCAGUGGGGAAUAUUGCACAAUGGGCGCAAGCCUGAUGCAGCGACGCCGCGUGGGGGAUGACGGACUUCGGGUUGUAAACUCCUUUCGCUAGGGACGAAGCUUUUUGUGACGGUACCUAGAUAAGAAGCACCGGCUAACUACGUG
This 465-nucleotide ribosomal RNA is filed under the name uncultured bacterium. RNAcentral's name for it is "partial 16S ribosomal RNA". It matches the Rfam family "Bacterial small subunit ribosomal RNA", at positions 28 to 507 of the family's 1533-position model. The record is from RNAcentral.